GAGUAUUUAAAGUGGGGAGAAGAUUUAGCAACAGCAGUGAUUCUGAAUAAAGUGUCUCCGUUCUUCUUGCAGUUUGUGUGCUGUCUGACUUCAUCAUGCAGCAAAUCUACACACAGAGCCAUGAAGAGUUUGAGGUGUUCACCACUGUUCUCUCGCCUCAAGUUUGUCGGAAGAGAGUGAUAUUCAAGCACCAAGGAGAAAUGGUGGUUGUGACGGCAGACUACAGUGCAGACUGUGAUGAAGAGCUGUGUGUCCGUGCCGGUGAGGUGGUGUUGCUUCUGUAUCAGGAGAAUGCCGACUGGUGUUACGCCCGACUUCAGAACGGAAAGGAAGGAUACCUUCCCACAGCCUGCUUCACUACGAAGCAGGAGCCGUUGAGGCCCAUUGUGGCUCGGGCAUCGCAAAACUUCACGCAAGCGUCGUCUAAUGAUCGGAGUGGCUGUUCUAGAGGGCGCUCUCUGAAACUGCCACGGCGAGCAUCUCUGUCAGGAGUGCCGGGUUCACCUCGAUUACUUCAGCGACUGCUCUCUCGUCGACGUAGUGAUGGACUUGCUGUACGUUCAAUCGGCUCCAUCAAUCCUGCGUUUCAUCCUGACUGAUGGAUCUAACCCUAGAGCUCCACCUUUCUCUUCUUAAUGGGUCACAGAACAGCAGAAACUAGGACAGUAUGACACCAAAGUUCAGUCUGUAUGCAACUCCUUCAGAUUUGGAGAGAAAACAGAAGUUCAGUGUCCUGAUUAGUUUGGGGCCUCAGUAACUUCAUAGCCAGUUUGUGGCUCUGAGCCUGUAGCUGAUAUCAGGAAUCUUUAAUAUUACUGCCCUAUGUAAAUAUGUAAAUAUUGUGAUUUUGAUUGGAAAUAUCACACUCUUCGCCUAUGAGUGUAUUUGAAUUUUGAAUAGAUGUGUCUGUUUUGACUAAUAAUGCAGAAAGACUACAAUGAGAAAUUGUUAGUUUAUAAAUGUGUAUAUAUAUAUAUAUAUAUAUUUAUAGAUAUAUGCAAUGUUUAUAUUAAAAUGCUAGUGUUGCCAAAGUUAAUAUCAACUCAAAAAAAGUACAUCUACUAAAGAGUCUUAUAUAAGUUGAUUACCAGAGAAAAUUAGUUUGAUGUAUUACAAUUUAUAAAAGCACAGAAAAAAAGAGUUUGCUUACAGAAAUCAUUUACAGUGGACGUACUAUAGAAUAUUAUGGAGUGUACAUUUAGAUUUCCAUUUUAAGAGCAACAUUUUUUUUUGUUUAUUUGACCCUGAAUGUUUUUUUUUAAAUUCUGUACAUUAAAUAAAAAUUAUAUAUCAAUGUAAUUUCAACCACACCUCAGACCAUACCACAAAGUAUCUAAACUAAACUAUUAAUAUUGUUAAUUUAUUUUUUCCAAGUUUGUAAUUUUUUAUGGUAUGAAUACUGGUAAAUUAUGGUGUUUACCCUUAAUUUUUGAUGGGCUUUUUAGCUUGUAUUUAGAGGACAUUGGCAUACAGCUGCAAAAUUUCAUGAAAUGAAAAGUCAAUUUUGUAAUUCACAGCCUGACUAUAAUCAUCAUCACUUCAUCAAGCUUAAGGAGAAAAAUCUCAACACUAAUUUGGUAAUGCAGUACAAUUAGUUUCAAUUUGUGAAUGCAUUAUGUUGCAUGAAAUAACAAUGACCAAUUUUCUACAGAAUUUACUGAAGUUAAUAUAAAUACAUGUACUAUUUACUUCACAUUCGUUUGUAAAACAUUAAAGGGGUCAUAGAUGUUGCUAAAAAAGAACAUUAUUUUGUGUAUUUGGUGUAAUGAAAUGUGUUUAUGCGGUUUAAGGUUAAAAAACAUUAUUUUCCACAUACUGUACAUUAUUGUUUCUCCUCUAUGCCCCGCCUUUCUGAAACGCGUCGAUUUUUACAAAGCAAAACCCAUUAUAAACAAGGCAUUCAUUGCAUCCAGUGGGGACAUAAUUAUGGAUUAUAAUGACUUAUACUGUCUUUUUACGCGUUGCGUUGCAUCGCGCCGCGUAAACAUAAAACCAUGUCUGCAUUUGUGAUCGGAGAAAUGACAAACAACAAGUGCUACACUACGCUGCUCAAAACUCACGUUUGAAUCAACGGUGGCAAAUUCUUUAGAUAUAAAAAACUUACUUACAGACUGUGAGUCAGAACAGCUGGCAUUGUAGUCUACUCUACCAGGAUCAGGAAACAGUCCUCCAUAAAAUGUGCAGCACACAUCUGAAUAUUUGGGUUGAAGUGUUCUGGAACAUUGUUGUAAAUACAACUUAACCACUG
This 2248-nucleotide long non-coding RNA is filed under the name Sinocyclocheilus grahami. RNAcentral's name for it is "lncRNA (ENSSGRG00000028129.1)". The record is from RNAcentral. Lineage: Eukaryota; Metazoa; Chordata; Actinopteri; Cypriniformes; Cyprinidae.